GCGGAAGUGGUGAAAUUGGUAUACACGCAGCCUUGAGGUGGCUGUGGGAGAAAUCCCGUGUGGGUUCGAGUCCCUCCUUCCGCA
Molecule: transfer RNA, 84 nt
Filed under: Candidatus Babela massiliensis
Lineage: Bacteria; Candidatus Babeliae; Candidatus Babeliales; Candidatus Babeliaceae
Description: delta proteobacterium BABL1 tRNA
Rfam family: tRNA
About the family: Transfer RNA (tRNA) molecules are approximately 80 nucleotides in length.
Source: Rfam by way of RNAcentral